CCUAUGGGUGGCUGCAGUGGGGAAUAUUGCACAAUGGGCGCAAGCCUGAUGCAGCCAUGCCGCGUGUGUGAAGAAGGCCUUCGGGUUGUAAAGCACUUUCAGCGGGGAGGAAGGCGGUGAGGUUAAUAACCUCAUCGAUUGACGUUACCCGCAGAAGAAGCACCGGCUAACUCCGUGCCAGCAGCCGCGGUAAUACGGAGGGUGCAAGCGUUAAUCGGAAUUACUGGGCGUAAAGCGCACGCAGGCGGUCUGUCAAGUCGGAUGUGAAAUCCCCGGGCUCAACCUGGGAACUGCAUUCGAAACUGGCAGGCUAGAGUCUUGUAGAGGGGGGUAGAAUUCCAGGUGUAGCGGUGAAAUGCGUAGAGAUCUGGAGGAAUACCGGUGGCGAAGGCGGCCCCCUGGACAAAGACUGACGCUCAGGUGCGAAAGCGUGGGGAGCAAACGGGAUUAGAUACCCCAGUAGUC
This 465-nucleotide ribosomal RNA is filed under the name uncultured Klebsiella sp. RNAcentral's name for it is "bacterial SSU rRNA". It matches the Rfam family "Bacterial small subunit ribosomal RNA", at positions 338 to 795 of the family's 1533-position model. Lineage: Bacteria; Pseudomonadati; Pseudomonadota; Gammaproteobacteria; Enterobacterales; Enterobacteriaceae. The record is from RNAcentral.